Long non-coding RNA from Branchiostoma belcheri (Belcher's lancelet), 623 nucleotides. RefSeq lists it as uncharacterized. The transcript is spliced from 3 exons. Lineage: Eukaryota; Metazoa; Chordata; Leptocardii; Amphioxiformes; Branchiostomatidae. The record is from RefSeq and is a predicted model, not a curated record.
GGGUCAUAUUCGCUGUCGUUUUUGUUUACUUCAGUCUCAAAUUUGUUUUAGUUUUUAUGCUUACAAUGUCCGGCGCGUUUAUUAAUCAAUAACGGGCCCGUUAGUGAUAAAAUUAAUUAAUAGAAAUCCUGCAUAGAUUAUGUUAAUAUUGCCCUUACAACAUCUGCCCCCAACAACAGAACCACCUCGUCUUCGAUCUUCCCCGAUUCAAGCACAAGCACCCAGAAGAUCCUGAGGAGGUCCCAGGAGGGUUCCUGACAGAUUGUAACAAGGACUCCCUGACUGUGAUCCCUGAUGCCCUAUAUUGAAUGCUUCAGUGAAGGGUGCCAAGGUGUACGACAAGUUCCAGUUUGAACGGAUCGGCUACUUCUCUGUAGAUCCUGAUUCAGCAAAGUCCGACAAGGUCAGCUGUCGUAACUCUUAAUGUCUCACAUUUACAAUAUACUUCAGCAUCUGAGGAAAAUGUACUCUGGGGAUUUAUAGUUGAAAUUGACUAGAAAUUGUGUACACUUAUUAUUCCCAGUAAUCAGUUAUGUUGUCAGUCCACUCUGUUUUCAUUUGAGACAUUUUGAGAAUAAAAAGCCUAUGGACACUUGUUUCAGUUUCACAUCAAAACUCCAGCA